UACAGAGGUGGCAAGCGUUGUUCGGAAUUACUGGGCGUAAAGGGCGUGUAGGCGGUCUUCUAAGUCAGACGUGAAAUCCCCCGGCUUAACCUGGGAACUGCGUCUGAUACUGGGAGGCUUGAGUAUGGGAGAGGGAUGUAGAAUUCCAGGUGUAGCGGUGAAAUGCGUAGAUAUGCGGAGGAACACCGAUGGCGAAGGCAAUCCCCUGGGCCUGCACUGACGCUCAUGCACGAAAGCGUGGGGAGCAAACAGG
Molecule: ribosomal RNA, 253 nt
Filed under: uncultured bacterium
Lineage: Bacteria
Description: partial 16S ribosomal RNA
Rfam family: Bacterial small subunit ribosomal RNA
Source: RNAcentral